CUGAAAAACAAUGGGGAUAACAGACCAUGAAGGUGAGUCAAUAUAUCUUGCAUACUGCUCUGAACCUUCUUCCUCAAGCUCGCUGUUGGAUAACUAGUCCUCCGCAUUGGCAAAGAAACUGACUUUUCUCCUACUCGAACUUCUCAGCACCUUUAGAUUUGCAAGCUUGAAAUGAUGUGACCUAACAACCUGUGAUGGAAGAAGAGCAAAGCAAGGGAAAAAAGAAAAAAAAAGGGGACAAAGUUACAGCAAGUCAUCCUACAGAAGUCUAGUGUUCAUUUUGAGGAACUUGCUAUUAUUAGCACAACAAGAAUGACUUAAAGUUUCAAAUAAUAAUUUACUUCACCAAGAGUCACGAAACGAACCAAAUACUAACAUUUGCCACAUUCUCCAUCUUACAAAAAGAAUAAGAGAUUCAAGGGAGGAAAUACAACUUUAACUUUUUUUCCGUCUGGAUAAAGGAAAUGCAACUUAAAACAUAUAUCAGAUAAUAAAGAGAGAAAUUGUUCAAUUGCAUCAUAAAGAAGAAUUUUAAUUUUGAGAUAACUUUCUAAUUUUACUAACUACCUUUAGCAUUUAUUAGACGUUCGGGAACAAAUCUCUGCAUGCAGAAUACUCUUGGUCUUGUACUCACCUGGAUGGUAAGGCAUGGAAUCAAACAAGCACUCUACAAGAGAUUACACAGAUCACCACAUAAUGGUGCUAGAGUAAAAGAUCAAAAAAAUGCAUUUUAACUUAAGUAUGCCAAUCGUAAAGAGUCCUUCAAGAACCCAAAAGGACAAAAAGAACCAUCUGAUCAUUUGACUGAGGAUAAUUCAGCUCAGUGCUUCCAGUGUCCACAUAAAGACUAAAGAGACGUGCUAAUAAUAUUAUAUGUCUUAUAGGUAACCUAGGUCGAACAACAUCAUAUUAUUAGAUUAUAUUAGAUUGAUUAUAUUAGAUUAUUAUCUUAUUUUUCUAGUUUUCAUGUAACUUAGAUUUGUUAUGUAGAGUUGGAAGAACUUUCUUAUAUUAUCUAGUCACUUAAAAGGAUAUUUACAGAUAGAUCUCAUUCAUAUGUGAAAUUUAGAGAGAGCAUCCAACACCUCCGAAAAUAUUAUCAAAAUGCAGCAGAAACCUUCAUAAGAACAUAACUGAACCAGGGAGGUAGCGUUCUCAGUGAGUUGCUGCCUUCUGGGUUAUAAGAACAAAGAUUCAUACAAUCAGAAUAAGGAUUAUCAUACCAAUGCACAUACAGACAAAGGGACCCUCACUUACAGAUAGAGGAAAUUUGCAUUCAUCUUGAAUGUAACAAACCAUUUCAUUUAGCCUUGGCAAGGAAAGAAACCAAAAGUUCAUAGUACUACUCUUCAGAUGAUCUGUAUUCCUAAAAAAAAAAUCCUAAUUAAGCAUUAAUGGAGGCAGAUAGAGGGAGAAAACUAAUCAAGGUUCCAGAAAGUUUCCUAGUAUUAGACUAAUAGCUGCACAGCGUUACUACCUGUAGCCUUCAAGAACUCCCCCUUACAAACCGCAUCCCCUACUACAUAUGUCAUUCCAUAUUUGUUAUUCCAAUUCAUUUUUGCAGCUUGUUCAGUGUCAUUCUAGUUGCCAAAGUAUUUCCAACCACCACUGGCUUCCUGAACCAAGAUCGAGUUCACAACAAAAGAAACAAGCAACAACAAGAACCACAAGAUAUCAACAACAAUGCUAGUAAAUUGAAAUAGGCCACAUACGGCUUCACUAGACUUCAAGAUGAACAACAAUAAGAAGAUAUCAACAAUAGUGAAUCAAAAGAGCCCCACACGACUUCACUAUGUCACAGUUUAGAACAUUGAACUAAAUCGAACAAAUCAGAAAUUAAAGCUAAUAUUACCCGUCUUUGUCGGUGGGUAGCGAAACUCAUUGAACCUCCCGUGUACAAUGAGCCGCCCGUUUGAGACGCUCUAUUUUUCUUUGCCCAUUCUCUCCUCGCCCUAUAUUCAGGAGCAUCCCAUAUUACAGCUACAGAAUAAUCAAUCAAUGUCUCCUCAAUCACAAAACAUAGUACAUGAAGCCCAUUCAAGAAUAAUCAAUCAAUGAUCCCUUCAUCAUGAAUACUCCAUACCCAUUCAAGCAUAUUUAUUAAAGGACAUAAAUCGAACAUAUAGCGAGCAUAUAAAAGUAAGGUAGAAAACUAUAACAGAUAUUUACAGAACUAAAACCUACAAUAAUAGUAAGGUAGAAAAUGAAGAAACAAAAAAAACUGAAAGAAUCUUAUGCUUUAUCAAUCGUCAAACAAUAGAUAUUGCUUAGUUAGAUCCAGAAACUAGUAAACCAACAGCUUAUUGUGCAAAUUCCAGAAACUAGAAAAUCAGUGCGCGAAAUACCAGAAACCCAAAAACAGAAAUUCAGUAUGCGAAUUUCAUAUCAACUUUUUUUAUCGAAAAUUAGACAGAAAUUGAAAAUGGAUAAGAAGACUUCUAAGAAUGACGACGAGGCUUCGCGAAAAGGCUUCGAGACAGAAAUUCACACCUCGAGGCAUCUUCCAACUUAGAAAUAUUGCAGUCACCGGCGCCGUUAAGAAUCCACCAAGGCCGUCGUCAUCGCCGUUACCACUCGACCAACGCCUUCAUCGUUGUGGCUGUGGUUGCCCUAGCUUAGAGAGAGAGGAGGGUUAGAGAGUGAGAGAG
This 2648-nucleotide long non-coding RNA is filed under the name Capsicum annuum. Its description in RNAcentral is "long non-coding RNA (CANN_LNC005278)". The record is from RNAcentral. Lineage: Eukaryota; Viridiplantae; Streptophyta; Magnoliopsida; Solanales; Solanaceae.